Molecule: long non-coding RNA, 227 nt
Filed under: Setaria viridis
Lineage: Eukaryota; Viridiplantae; Streptophyta; Magnoliopsida; Poales; Poaceae
Description: long non-coding RNA (SVIR_LNC004870)
Source: RNAcentral
GGAACACAAAAUGAGCCCUCUACGUCCUGUAGCAUAGGAAAUCCCUAAUCCACGCAACCUGAAGAUGCUCGCUCACUCACGAGUCAGUCCAGGUCGAUCCAGUCCUCAAAAUUAUUCCUCGCGUGCACUAAACGCAACGCAUUUGUUGGUUCUUUCCAUGGGAACUUCCAAAUCUACGGAGCUAACUUUGGUAUAGGACAAAAGCUGGGCGGGAGUAGGAGUGUAGG